RNAcentral lists this unclassified non-coding RNA (352 nucleotides) under soil metagenome. RNAcentral describes it as "partial contains 5.8S ribosomal RNA, internal transcribed spacer 2, and large subunit ribosomal RNA". The stretch from base 1 to 120 matches the Rfam family "5.8S ribosomal RNA", at positions 35 to 154 of the family's 154-position model. The record is from RNAcentral.
GAUGAAGAACGCAGAGAAAUGCGAUAAGUAAUGUGAAUUGCAGAAUUCAGUGAAUCAUCGAAUCUUUGAACGCACAUUGCGCCCGCCAGUAUUCUGGCGGGCAUGCCUGUUCGAGCGUCAUUACAACCCUCAGGCCCCCGGGCCUGGCGUUGGGGAUCGGCGGAGCCCCCCGUGGGCACACGCCGUCCCCCAAAUACAGUGGCGGUCCCGCCGCAGCUUCCAUCGCGUAGUAGCUAACACCUCGCGACUGGAGAGCGGCGCGGCCACGCCGUAAAACACCCAACUCUUCUGAAGUUGACCUCGAAUCAGGUAGGAAUACCCGCUGAACUUAAGCAUAUCAAUAAGCGGAGGA